CAGCCGCCACGGUAAAACGAAGGGUGCAAGCGUUAAUCGGAAUUACUGGGCGUAAAGCGUGCGUAGGCGGUGAGUUAAGUCUGCUGUGAAAUCCCCGGGCUCAACCUGGGAAUGGCAGUGGAUACUGGCUCGCUAGAGUGUGUCAGAGGAUGGUGGAAUUCCCGGUGUAGCGGUGAAAUGCGUAGAGAUCGGGAGGAACAUCAGUGGCGAAGGCGGCCAUCUGGGACAACACUGACGCUGAGGCACGAAAGCGUGGGGAGCAAACAGGAUUAGAUACCCGGGUAGUCCCUGUCUCUUAUAC
This 301-nucleotide ribosomal RNA is filed under the name uncultured bacterium. RNAcentral's name for it is "partial 16S ribosomal RNA". It matches the Rfam family "Bacterial small subunit ribosomal RNA", at positions 509 to 807 of the family's 1533-position model. The record is from RNAcentral.